This is a small nuclear RNA of Lycium ferocissimum, 197 nucleotides long. RefSeq annotates it as U2 spliceosomal RNA. The transcript has a single exon. The record is from RefSeq and is a predicted model, not a curated record. Lineage: Eukaryota; Viridiplantae; Streptophyta; Magnoliopsida; Solanales; Solanaceae.
AUACCUUUCUCGGCCUUUUGGCUAAGAUCAAGUGUAGUACCUGUUCUUAUCAAUUUAAUAUAUGAUAUGUGGGUCAUUGACUCACACGAUAUUGACUCAAUUUUUUAAGGGGGAAGGCUCAUAAUAGUAGCUUGCUACUUGGGCCUUCGUGUGUCACCUUUGGUGUUGCACUACAACCUUGGCCUUGUGCACUCCAC